GAUGAAGAACACAGCGAAAUGCGAUACGUAGUGUGAAUUGCAGAAUUCAGUGAAUCAUCGAAUCUUUGAACGCACAUUGCGCCCUUUGGUAUUCCAAAGGGCAUGCCUGUUCGAGCGUCAUUUGUACCCUCAAGCUUUGCUUGGUGUUGGGCGUUUUUGUCUUUGGCCCGCCAAAGACUCGCCUUAAAAUGAUUGGCAGCCGGCCUACUGGUUUCGCAGCGCAGCACAUUUUUGCGCUUGCAAUCAGCAAAAGAGGACGGCAAUCCAUCAAGACUCCUUCUCACGUUUGACCUCGGAUCAGGUAGGGAUACCCGCUGAACUUAAGCAUAUCAAUAAGCGGAGGA
RNAcentral lists this unclassified non-coding RNA (344 nucleotides) under soil metagenome. Its description in RNAcentral is "partial contains 5.8S ribosomal RNA, internal transcribed spacer 2, and large subunit ribosomal RNA". The stretch from base 1 to 120 matches the Rfam family "5.8S ribosomal RNA", at positions 35 to 154 of the family's 154-position model. The record is from RNAcentral.